UGGGGAAUCUUGCGCAAUGGGCGAAAGCCUGACGCAGCAACGCCGCGUGCGGGAUGACGGCCUUCGUGGUUGUAAACCGCUUUCAGCAGGGACGAAAAUGACGGUACCUGCAGAAGAAGCCCCGGCUAACUACGUGCCAGCAGCCGCGGUAAUACGUAGGGGGCAAGCGUUGUCCGGAUUCAUUGGGCGUAAAGAGCUCGUAGGCGGUUCAGUAAGUCAGGUGUGAAAGCUCCGAGCUCAACUCGGAGAGGCCACCUGAUACUGCUGUGACUUGAGUCCAGUAGAGGAGCGUGGAACUCCUGGUGUAGCGGUGGAAUGCGCAGAUAUCAGGAAGAACACCUGCAGCGAAGGCGGCGCUCUGGGCUGGAACUGACGCUGAGGAGCGAAAGCAUGGGUAGCAAACA
RNAcentral lists this ribosomal RNA (404 nucleotides) under uncultured bacterium. RNAcentral's name for it is "bacterial SSU rRNA". It matches the Rfam family "Bacterial small subunit ribosomal RNA", at positions 355 to 774 of the family's 1533-position model. RNAcentral also lists the same sequence under 1 other name. The record is from RNAcentral.